GAUGAACGCUGGCGGCGUGCCUAAUACAUGCAAGUCGAGCGAACAGAUAAGGAGCUUGCUCCUUUGACGUUAGCAGCGGACGGGUGAGUAACACGUGGGUAACCUAUCUAUAAGACUGGAAUAACUCCGGGAAACCGGGGCUAAUGCCGGAUAACAUGUUGAACCGCAUGGUUCUACAGUGAAAGGCGGCUUUGCUGUCACUUAUAGAUGGACCCGCGCCGUAUUAGCUAGUUGGUGAGGUAACGGCUCACCAAGGCAACGAUACGUAGCCGACCUGAGAGGGUGAUCGGCCACACUGGAACUGAGACACGGUCCAGACUACUAAGGGAGGCAGCAGUAGGGAAUCGUCCGCAAUGGGCGAAAGCCUGACGGAGCAACGCCGCGUGAGUGAUGAAGGUCUUCGGAUCGUAAAACUCUGUUAUUAGGGAAGAACAAAUGCGUAAGUAACUGUGCGCGUCUUGACGGUACCUAAUCAGAAAGCCACGGCUAACUACGUG
RNAcentral lists this ribosomal RNA (497 nucleotides) under uncultured bacterium. Its description in RNAcentral is "partial 16S ribosomal RNA". It matches the Rfam family "Bacterial small subunit ribosomal RNA", at positions 28 to 507 of the family's 1533-position model. The record is from RNAcentral.